This 552-nucleotide ribosomal RNA is filed under the name uncultured bacterium. Its description in RNAcentral is "bacterial SSU rRNA". It matches the Rfam family "Bacterial small subunit ribosomal RNA", at positions 224 to 768 of the family's 1533-position model. The record is from RNAcentral.
GAUGUGCCCAGAUGGGAUUAGCUAGUAGGUGGGGUAAUGGCUCACCUAGGCGACGAUCCCUAGCUGGUCUGAGAGGAUGACCAGCCACACUGGAACUGAGACACGGUCCAGACUCCUACGGGAGGCAGCAGUGGGGAAUAUUGCACAAUGGGCGCAAGCCUGAUGCAGCCAUGCCGCGUGUAUGAAGAAGGCCUUCGGGUUGUAAAGUACUUUCAGCGAGGAGGAAGGUGUUGUGGUUAAUAACCGCAGCAAUUGACGUUACUCGCAGAAGAAGCACCGGCUAACUCCGUGCCAGCAGCCGCGGUAAUACGGAGGGUGCAAGCGUUAAUCGGAAUUACUGGGCGUAAAGCGCACGCAGGCGGUUUGUUAAGUCAGAUGUGAAAUCCCCGGGCUCAACCUGGGAACUGCAUUUGAAACUGGCAAGCUUGAGUCUCGUAGAGGGGGGUAGAAUUCCAGGUGUAGCGGUGAAAUGCGUAGAGAUCUGGAGGAAUACCGGUGGCGAAGGCGGCCCCCUGGACGAAGACUGACGCUCAGGUGCGAAAGCGUGGGGAG